RNAcentral lists this ribosomal RNA (36 nucleotides) under Cheilolejeunea fulva. RNAcentral describes it as "Aureolejeunea fulva partial 26S ribosomal RNA". Lineage: Eukaryota; Viridiplantae; Streptophyta; Jungermanniopsida; Porellales; Lejeuneaceae. The record is from RNAcentral.
CGGACCUCAGAUCAGACAAGACCACCCGCUGAGUUU